Non-coding RNA from Bos taurus (domestic cattle), 72 nucleotides. The record is from Rfam. Lineage: Eukaryota; Metazoa; Chordata; Mammalia; Artiodactyla; Bovidae.
UCCCUGGUGGCUCAGAUGGUACAGAAUCUGCCUGCAGUGCAGGAGACCCAGGUUCAAUCCCUGGGUGGGGAA